AGUUAACAAGGGAAUCCACAAGGACACACACUUCUGGCAGCAUCCAUCUUGUGGUUCACAAACUGAAGAGAGAAACACACUGACAAUGCUCAGCCAACCAGACAAAGAGAAACCCCACUGGACAUGCUCAACAACCCAAGGAAGGCUCCGUUAAAGACAAGCCAGGCUGUUUUUAAACUGCAGCAUCUGAUCUGUCUCUACUUCAGAUGCCCAACUUGGACACAUCACGCCAGCCAAAGCUUUUGCAGUCAGAUGGCCAGUGAGAUCCAGACCCUCCAAGCACAAACCAAGGUGAGCAGGAGACCUUCAGAAUUCUCUGCAUCAAUUGUCCCUGCUGAUGUUGGGGCACCCAUACCCCAACAUUCAAUCCAGAGCUACCAACCCAGAAUUAUAUGGAAUUCAGGCCUGUGUCUGAUUCCAUUUUAUUAAGGAAUGAAUUAAUGCCUGAACUCAAGGUGAACUGACACCAAGGUCUCAUGACUGCCUCUGCUAACUGCUCUGUGAAGAAAGAGGCAAUCCAGCAUUGUAUUGUGAAAUGGAUACUCAAAGAAACACAAAGGCCAGGCCUGAGCGAUCAAAAUGCUAAAAUCUAACCCACUAUCAGACAAUGUCUGGAAGAAGUGAGAAGCCGAGCUCUUACUUCCUCUUGCAAGGUCUAUGUUAAUCCUUGUCAAUGAUUGCCCUGCUAUGCCCAAAGGGGAUACUCAAUAGCUGUCUAUAGAAAUUCCACUCUAGGUAAAUGCACACAAAGAAAACACCUAUAGAUUUUAAUUCUUACUUUACUAACACCUUUUAACACCUUCUGCGACCAAGCACCAGAAAUCUGGGUACAAGAGAAGAUGCCCAUUUGCAGCUCAGAGAUGCAGAUUUGCUUUGGGCAGAUUAGAAUGUAUCUCCCCUAAGUAGCAGUUUACAGAAGAUGGGAUUCAGAUCUCCCUGGACUGAGCUAACAUACUGAAUAAUUAUCCAGAAGGUAACAGCAAAUUGUCACCCUUUUGGGGACCCAGGAAGGGUGAGGAUAUUUUGAAUAGACUCUGUGGAGAUCAAAGGAAGAUACAACUAUAAAGAAUGAGGCUUACUGGACAGAGUCAGCAAUCUUUUGCCUACAAGCAAGACUUGCUCAUGAGCAAUCCAAGGGUUUGCUGCCCAAGCCACAGGGCUAGAGGCAGGAACUCUUUCCAGGGAGAAGGGACUGUUUGUGACUUCUGCUACGCAGUGAGAAGUCAAGACUCCCCAGCCGUGAUACUCCCAAGCAAUCUUGCCUAACAAGCAUACUUGCUCAAGAGCCAUCCCAGAGUUUGCUGCUAACCCGCGGGGCAACAAGCAGGAACUCUGUCCAUGGACAGGAACUGUCUGUGACUUCUGCUGUGCAGUGAGAAGUUAAGACUUUCCCAGCCAUGGUGCUCUCACCCUCAGCCUCGCUCUGAGAAAACUGCCUGCUUGACCAUCGCUUCCAAGCUCCUGUCUCCAGCUACAGCCUCUCUCCUUCAGCUGAAAGCCCCACCGCUCUCAAGCCUCUGACCCUGGUAAUAUGCUGCUCCACAAGCCUUGGGUCUCUCCAUCCUUUCCCUUUCUUCUCCUUUCCCCUCUUCCCUCUACUAAUUCCUGAUCUCCCCAACCCAUGCCAAUCCUCAACCUUCCUUAACCCCCCUUUUCCGCCUAUAUCUGAAUUAUAUUAGGCUCUAGGAGGAUUUAAUACACACACACAGGAUAGUUAGGAACACUGGGUGAAUGUUGUUGCUGGCUAUGGUUGAAAUAUUGUUAGUAAUUCUGAUAGAUUGUUCUGCUUUCUGCUCAGUUAGAUUGAUGUUGUUAUUCUUUUGUACUCAAUAAAGCCCAUUGAAUCAUU
Hemicordylus capensis (graceful crag lizard) is the source of this 1849-nucleotide long non-coding RNA. RefSeq lists it as uncharacterized. The record is from RefSeq and is a predicted model, not a curated record. The transcript is spliced from 2 exons. NCBI's taxonomy places the organism in Eukaryota, Metazoa, Chordata, Lepidosauria, Squamata, Cordylidae.